CUGAUUUGUGAUAAUAACAACAAACCACGAGAAGAACAAGAAAAAACAGUAGAAUUAUUCGUUCAAUUUCAACAACCAAAAGGAUUCGGAAAAAACGCAGAUCUGCAUCCUUUGCCUAGGCUGGCCAACGAUAGCCUUGAAGUCAGGUACAUAGGUCAAGGAUUUUCCAAGAAUAUGCCGCUAUCGGAGGUUAGUUUUUCUCCGGCAACCCACCGGAAAAACCGUGUGUGCCGUCUUACUGGUUGUCGUCGCUGCUGCGUAACUGUGGCUGUGCACCGGAAGGUGAUUUGUGCACCAGAAGACCAGGAGAAACAACGGGUGUCGAAGGUGCUGCAAAAUUGUCCAAUCCCCCAAAGAUAAUCUAUUGCUUAAUUCUACGAGGUAAUCCGGAUUACAAUUUGUGUCAAUAAGUGAGUGAUAUAAAUUAUGGUUAUCAAUAAAAAGUGAUUCGCA
Uranotaenia lowii is the source of this 453-nucleotide long non-coding RNA. RefSeq lists it as uncharacterized. The transcript has 2 exons. NCBI's taxonomy places the organism in Eukaryota, Metazoa, Arthropoda, Insecta, Diptera, Culicidae. The record is from RefSeq and is a predicted model, not a curated record.